CUGCAGAAUAAGGAUCAGAACUUUACAGAGGUAAACUGUGUCUGUUCUUUUUACUAUUACAGCAGUUCAUCGUGGCCCUGUCAUUCAACUCCUUCACCAAAGCUGUCAGGGACCUACAUGAAGAGUGCCAUCACUCAGAGAGACACUUUGACCUGUCCAGCUCUCUUAUCGGACUCAUAGACGGCAGCUUUGAGAUGGGUAACCUGCUGUUCCUGGCUGUGGUCAGCCAUUUUGGGGCGAAGCUGCACCGGCUCAGGCUCCCCGUGUCCUUAUUCAGAUAAUCACCCCAGUUGGCCUUUUUCUCUUCAUCUAGUGUGCGCAACAUUGACAACAGUGUACAGUUAAAUCUCGGAACUGGUGGUACCGGACUGGAGACCCGCACCUCAAGGCUAGUGCGGGGAGCAGGAACAGGGCACACUGAGUUCUCAAGGCGCAUUAUAGGACUGGUGCGUGGUACCGGGACUGGUGGUACCGGGCUGAGGGCAAGCACCUCAGGACGAGUGCGGGGAGAAAUAUAAGUGCGUACUGGGCUCUGGAGACGCACAUGAGGCCUGGUGCCGGAACUGGAGGCACUGGGCUGGAUACACGCACCACAGGGAGAGUGCGUGGAGGAGGAACAGGGCUCUGGAGAGGCACAGGAGGCUUAGUGCGUGGUGUCAGCACUGGUGGUACUGGACUGGGGACACGCACCACAUGGCUAGUGCGAGGAGCAGUAACAGGACGCACAGGACUCUGGAGACGCACAGGAGGCUUUGUGCGUGCUGUAGGCACUGUCUUAACCAGACGGCUAGCACGCACCUGUCCUGGUUCUUUGGCCGCUGCUGCUGGUUCCUCUCAUGCUGCUUGAUCCAUGGUUGGUGGGGUGUUCUGUCACGAUCGUCUUCGUGAGAGAGAGAGGACCAAGGCGCAGCGUGUGCAAAAUACAUCUCUUUAUUUUGGAAGAGAGAAAAACACGAAAACGAACAGUACACAAACUAACAAAACAACAAACGACCGUGAAGCUAAAUAACGUAAGUGCACAGACAAGCAACAAACGUUCAACAUAGACAACACCCCACAAAAGCCUACUGCCUUUGGCUGCCUUAAAUAUGGCUCCCAAUCAGAGACAAUGAAUGACAGCUGUCUCUGAUUGAGAACCAAUCCAGGCAGCCAUAGACAUAACUAGACAACCUUACUCUACUCUUCCCCAUACACAUACAACACCCCUAGACACUACAAAACACAUACAUUCCCCAUGUCACACCCUGACCUAACUAAAAAACAUAAAGAAAACAAAGAAUACUAAGGCCAGGGCGUGACAAUUUCAGUGUGUAAGUACUUGUAAAUCAGUGUUCUAUACUGACUUGGUACCUCAACUUGUUUCCUUUCUGCUGUUUUCUUUGUAAUAAUCCAUCUGGUGAGACAUGGAGCCUGUUCCACUCUUGCAGUAACUGUUUGACUUUGUAUGACUCUUGUUGACAUUCUGUUGGUUUAGGCUUAGUGCCGCUUAGUCCUUUGACUUUUCAGUUCCAAGAUUCUCGAUACAGGCGCAUCAUUUAACUGAGCCUGCAUGAUAUCGUGUGGAGACAGUCGGUCUGUAACUUUUCCACCCCACCAUGACAGCUCAUCUUGCACUGAUGGCCUUGGUGUGACCGUGGAUAUCCACGUUACACAGUCAUUCUGUUUUGUGAACAUUAUUGAGUGUUGCUUUUACCAUUUCAAGUGAGUGUUUCUCAGUGCAUUCUUCCAUGUAAUGUUCAGCAUGCAAAGGAGAGCGUGACAGAAAGUCUGCGUCAUUGUUUACCUUUCCAGGACGAUACUUCAGUGUGAGAUUAAAGUCAGACAGCUCUGCCACCCAGCGAUGACCGGUGGCAUUCAGUCUUGCUGUAGUUAGUACAUAUGUCAAAGGGUUAUUAUCACUGUACACUGUCACAGAGGGAGCAUAAAAUAGGUAAUCUCGGAACCGCUCAGUCACUGCCCAUUUGAGGGCCAAGAAUUUCAGUUUCCCUGAGUGAAGGUGAUAGUUUCUCUCUGCUUGAGUCAGGAUGCGGGAGCCAUAUCCAAUGACUCUGUUUGCCACUUUGUCGUUGGUAUACCACCCCUCCCAAUCGCUCUUCAGAGGCAUCAACAUGCAGGAUAAAAGGGUCCUUGAAAUCUGGGUAAGCAAGCACAGGUGGAUUAGUCAACACACUCACCAAGUGUUCUAAUGCUCUCUGGUGAGCAUCCUCCCAUAUAACUUUCUGGUGGGGCAGAGCCUGUCCCGACUGCACAGCUGCCUUGGUCCUUCGCUUCCCGAAUGCUGGGGUCUUCGUCUUCACUGCUAGUAAGUCAUAGAGACAUUUAGCAUGUUGUGAAAAGUUCUGUACAUAACCCCUAUAGUACCCUAGAAACCCCAGUAGUUUCCUCAGCUCUCUCACAUUUGUUGGUGGCCUGUUUACCAGUUCUUGCACUGCUACAAUUUCUUUAACAUCCAUUCUGUAACCCUCAGCAAAAAUAAUUUUUCCUAAAUAACAGACGUCAUUCUUGAUUAGGUCACACUUAUUUGAGUUUAAUACCCCAUUUAUUUUGCUGCCUAAGUACCUGACGGACAUCUUCCACAUGUUGUUCAAAUGACUGACUAAAAAUAAGAACGUCAGAAUCUGUAUACCAUAUUUGGAUAUCUCUUAUCCCCUCUAAACUUUCCUCCAUGCUUCGUUGGAAGGCACUAUAUGAACAACUUCUCGUUCAUCAUCACCAACAAACGACUAAGUCAUGUCGAACCUUGAAAACAUGAGAGAGCGCUUUUUAAGUUUUGCCAGCCAAUUGCAACCACCUUUACAACCACCCGAGGAGGAUCGGGUGGUUCAAAGGUAGGAUUCAUUCUGGUAGGUUAGGUAAUACCUGGCAAAAGUCAACAUUAACCGGCACAACUACCUAGUAAUGUUAGCUUGCUAAUGAUUGCAACAGCUACCGUAGGGUGUGCGAGUAUGGGCAGCGUCGAUUAUGCUGAGUGUCAUUAUUGUAACUUUUAUAACGUUUGCACAUGUCAGAUUUCAAUCGUUCAGGAGACGGAAUAAUGCUGGAGUCCAAAGGCGGCAAACCGGGAGAAGCAGGUUGAUAACUAUGAGGGUUUGCCUGAUCGCUGACCCUACCAUCCGACAGCUGAACAGGAUAGGUACAUUUCCCCUAUAUCCAUGUAGUACAUGAGGACACAGUGCUUGCUUUGUAGUUUAUUUUACUGAUUUAAAGAUCAUGGACUAUUUCCCUGUUUUAUAUUAGGAUACGUUUUAUUGCACUUAUUUUAAAUAUACAUACUUUCUUUAAACCAUAGCAGGUUCAAAUAUCGUCUCAACUCUCUUGGGCUGCUUGAAGCAUUUGGGAACCACCCGGACAGCUUCCGAGCGCUUUUUAUGGACUCCAUAAAUCCUCCCACUGCCAGGGACCUGUUCAAAGUAACCUAUUCAAACCUGGCAGCAACCGGCGGUGUUUGGAGAACAAUUUAAAUAUGUAUUUUAAAUGUUUUACUGUAUACUCCUCAGAUGGAGAAUGUCCUCUAACAGUGGCGAUGGUGUUGGAGUUUGUUACUGGGGCAACGGUGGUGCCACCCCUUGGGUUUGAGGACACCCCGACCAUCGAAUUCCUCCACACAGCGCGAGGGCAUCUCGCUGGGCAGCAGAAGAAAAAGUACCCAGAGGCAAACACGUGUGCUGUGACACUAAGGCUCCCUCUUCAUAGCACCUACAAUGCCUUUAAGGAAUUCAUGACCUCCGGUAUUGUGAAUUCCCCACAUUUCGGUGUUGCAUUAAAACGUUUUUAUGAUACAUAAUUGUAUCUAGUAGCACUAAACUACAGUAGCAAUUGAGUGUUUGAAAAUGUAACUGCACAUCAACAUUUAAGCAUUUAUCUACUUACAUCUGUAUUGUUUGUACAGUGCAUUCGGGAACGUAUUCAGACCCCUUGACUUUUUCCACAUUUUAUUACGUUACAGCCUUCUUCAAAAAUGGAUACAAUAAUUUUUUCCCCUCCUCAAUCUACACACAAUAACCCAUAAUGACAAAGCAAAAACAAGUUGACAUUUUUGCAAAUGUAUUUAAAAAAAAAAAAAAAAAAAAAAAAAGGAAACAUUACAUUUAUGACCCUUUACUCAGUACUUUGCUGAAGCACCUUUGGCAGCGAUUGCACCAUCGAGUCUUCUUGGGUAUGAAGCUACAUUUUUAUUUAUUUAAUACAUUUUAGAAUAACGCUCGAAUGUAACAAAAUGUGGAAAAAGUCAAGGGGUCUGAAUAGUUUCCUAAUGCACUGUAUUUCCACAUUGGCUGUUAUUCACUUAAUGAUCAUUAAUAUUAAAUUAUACAGUCCAUA
This is a long non-coding RNA of Salvelinus fontinalis (brook trout), 4320 nucleotides long. RefSeq lists it as uncharacterized. The record is from RefSeq and is a predicted model, not a curated record. The transcript is spliced from 3 exons. NCBI's taxonomy places the organism in Eukaryota, Metazoa, Chordata, Actinopteri, Salmoniformes, Salmonidae.